This 1487-nucleotide ribosomal RNA is filed under the name metagenome. RNAcentral describes it as "bacterial SSU rRNA". It matches the Rfam family "Bacterial small subunit ribosomal RNA". The record is from RNAcentral.
AGAGUUUGAUCCUGGCUCAGAACGAACGUUGGCGGCGUGCCUAAUACAUGCAAGUCGCGCGAGAACGGAGGGGCAACUCUCCUAGUACAGCGGCGAACGGGUGCGUAAUACAUGGAGAACGUACCCCUCGGAUCGGGAUAACCCAGGGAAACUUGGGCUAAUACCGGAAGACAUCCCGAGGAGGCAUCUUCUUGGGAUCAAAGGUGGCCGAAAGGUUACUGCCGGGGGAGCGCUCCAUGACCUAUCAGCUAGUUGGUGGGGUAACGGCCCACCAAGGCUGUGACGGGUAGCCGGGCUGAGAGGUCGACCGGCCACAUGGGCACUGAGACACGGGCCCAACACCUACGGGUGGCAGCAGUAGGGAAUCUUGCGCAAUGGGCGAAAGCCUGACGCAGCGACGCCGCGUGGAGGACGAAGGCCUUCGGGUUGUAAACUCCUUUCGGGGGGGACGAACACUGACUUAACCCCCAAAAGAAGCACCGGCUAACUCCGUGCCAGCAGCUGCGGUAAUACGGAGAGUGCAAACGUUGUUCGGAUUCACUGGGCGUAAAGGGCACGUAGGCGGCCAGGCAAUUCAGUCGUGGAAUACCGACGCUCACCGUCGGUGCGCCGGCUGAAAAUACCCGGCUUGAGGGCGUGAGAGGUCGCUGGAACUCCUGGUGGAGCGGUGAAAUGCGUAGAUAUCAGGAGGAACGCCGGAGGCUAACGCGAGCGACUGGUGCGUUCCUGACGCUGAGGUGCGAAAGCCGGGGGAGCAAACAGGAUUAGAUACCCUGGUAGUCCCGGCUGUAAACGAUGGACACUAAGUGGGGGAAGGUUUACCUUUCUCUGCUGCAGCUAACGCAUUAAGUGUCCCGCCUGGGGAGUACGGCCGCAAGGUUAAAACUCAAAGGAAUUGACGGGGGCUCGCACAAGCGGUGGAGCAUGUGGUUCAAUUCGAUUCGACGCGAAGAACCUUACCCGGGCUUGAAGUGGAGGUGGUAGGAGCCGGAAACGGCAACGACCCCGCAAGGGGAGCCUUCAUCAGGUGUUGCAUGGCUGUCGUCAGCUCGUGUCGUGAGAUGUUAGCUUAAGUGCUGUAACGAGCGAAACCCUUGCCCUUAGUUGCUACGUGGCAACACGGCACUCUAGGGGGACUGCCCGCGCUGAGUGGGAGGAAGGUGGGGAUGACGUCAAGUCAUCAUGGCCCUUAUGUCCGGGGCUACACACGUGCUACAAUGGCGAGGACAAAGGGUUGCCAACGCGCGAGCGGGAGCCAAUCUCAAAAACCUCGCCUCAGUUCGGAUCGGAGGCUGCAAUUCGCCUCCGUGAAGCUGGAAUCGCUAGUAAUCGCGGAUCAGCUACGCCGCGGUGAAUAUGUUCCCGAGCCUUGUACACACCGCCCGUCAAGCCACCCAAGCACGAAGUACCUGAAGCCCGUUGCCUAACCGCAAGGAGGGCGCGGUCCAAGGUAAGGCGUGUGAGGAGGGCUAAGUCGUAACAAGGUA